GUUUGGGCUCCAAAGAAAAUAAAGCCGCCGGCCCGAGCAGUUCUUCCCCAAAUCGACCAUCCCUCCAACAACCUUACCACCGCCUUUCCAAACCCUAGAUCUGGGCAGUCCGUUCUUCCCCUUCCCCGUGCGCCGCCGCCACUACAUCUCUUCCUCUCCCUCUCCGAUCCACACACGCCCUGCUACGGCCUCACCUCGCUGGCCUGCCUUUGGAUGGAACCGUCCUGGCCUAGUCCUUGCCAGAUCUGGCCGCACCGGUCGUCGGUGCUGCUGGAUAUGGCCGCUCCGGGCCUCAUCACCACCACCCCAAGUGUGCACCUCUCCACCGCCACUUCCCCGUCGUCUUCACAUCCGCCUCGCCCAGUUCCAGAGUAGUCGCGUGUCUCCCGAGGAGCCCGACCCCGGCGGCCUCUCCAUGGACUCCCUCCACCAUAGCUAAGGCAGCGCCACUGCAUCCAGAACACGGUUCAACCUCCAGAACGCUUGUGGCAAGCACCAGAUCGUGAGUUCAAGUAGGUCAACCGCGAGUUGCAUCUACAUCGACAGGUUCUCUUCUUCUUUGUGGGCCUGCACCUUCCACGUGGGCUGUGGAGGACGGAUGGCGCUGUGCUGUUCGGGCUGCAACAUGACGGGCAGCGGUUCUACGUCCCCUCUCAGAGCAGCUCUUUCAUGUUAUUCCAAGAAACAAGCUUUACAAACCGAACUGAGUUCACUAGAACUCGAAGUCUUGUGCAUGGAAGAGAAUUGAGAUAUUUGCUCAUUCUAUACUACUCAAAAUGUAUGUGUAGAUAUUCUUCUCAUUCUGGUUCAUGAUGCUUCUUAAUUAAGGUCUCUUUUAUGAGGUUCUUCCUUUUGCAAAUAAUAUGAUUAUGUAGCAACUUGGUUUCACGGCUUUGGAUCUCAUAUCACUAGACUAUAUGUUGAAAUGUUUGCUGUUCUUUGCUUAAUAAUGAUAGCAGCUUUGCAAAUAACAAGAACUUCAAGUAUUUUGGAAUGGAGGAAGUAGUAGUUAGUGUGGAUUAAAUUCCAGUUGCAAUGUUUUUAUCUUGUGUGAGCAUGCUUUUCGUGUCCAGAGAAUUGUUGGUGAAAGUGACUUGAAGUUGACACAACUUUGCCAGUUUGAAUAUUAUACCGUCAUGUUUUUCAGGACCGCAAGCAAUUACAUACUUAUAAUACAAUGUAUCCUUAUUGUCUCUGUCACAUUCUUUGUACAGUUUAUUUAUUGUUAAAGUUGUAAAGCAGUGCUUCCACAAUUAGUAAAAUUUACUAGAGAAAAUACGAAUGUUUAGUCAACUACAUAUUCUGACUUGUAAACAGAAGUAUUGCUUGUUUUACUUACUGCAGAAGGGCACAUGUUGUCUCACGUGACUUGAUCGUCCUAAUCUUAUAGGUUGUCUGCAUAGGCCUCGUGGCACCAUUGUCUAGGGCUUGUUUGCUGUUGCCCACUUGUACCUCAUGGAAGCCUCAAGCGUGGAAGCCAGCGCACAUAUACACACUCAUUCAGGCUCAGGCAUGAACCAAGGAAAAGUUCACAGCAGAAAACUGAAGCUCUAGCAUGUGUGCCAGCCGAUGAAGCUCGCCUUAACCCAUCGCUCAUUGCUAAGGUACCGGCACAUGCUACUCUAUCUGUUGUAUGUUGAGCCAGAAUGUAUGCUACUCUAUCUGUUGUAUGUUGAGCCAGAAUGUAUUUGCCUGACUGAUCAUAAUCCUUGUCUGGUAGGAAACUUAUGGUAUCCAGUACAAAGAUGCCAAAGUUUCGAUAUAAAUUUUGCUAAUUUAUAAUGGUGGCUUCAAAUUAUAGUGAACUAUAUAGGCGGUAGGCGCUCACAUCCUAUUGGCCUUCGGUGACAUUUUGAGCUCUUAUCUGCUGUCUUUAAUUGUUAGUGUGUACCAUCCAACAAAAUUAGCUCUAGUGCUUGGUGUGAAUUUUUUAUGGUUAUUUAGUUUAUUUCAUUGUACAAUGCAUGGUGCUAUGUUUCAUAAGUAUACACAUGCUAUGCUUGGCAUGCAGUUUUGGUGGAAAAAGGAAGCAUAUCAUGCUUACAAAUUGUUUGACCUUGCAUUUUAUUGCUUACUGUUUACUAUACAUUAGUAUUUGUACUUGGAAGUGUCAAAAAUCUGUCAUUAUAAUCAGCUGUAGUAAUAUUGCUAUAGAUAUACACACACUGAAAGUCUGAAAGAUUUCUUGUAAAAGUACAUGUCAGCUGCCAUAUCCUUUCCUAUGUCCUGUUCAGUUUUUUUAAUCUUCUCUUGGUUUGAUGUUAUGAUUUUUGUUACAUAGUUCAUAGAUGUUGCUGGUUUGUACUUUGAAAAUAUUUAAAGUUAUUUUUUUUCUCUUGUUCAAAAUGUUCUGUAUCAAGCUCGUAAGUUUAAGGAUGAGAUUGUUGAAUGCUACAAAAUUUCAUACCUUUGAUUUCAUAAUUCUAUAAAUUCAACCAUUCUAAACUAAACCAACCAGAUCAUAUCCUUAAUUAAUGGGUUUGUAGGUUAAGGGUGGAUACUCAGAAGUAUUUCGGUUGUGUAAGUUCUCGACAUGUUAAUUCGUUCUAGAGUCUCCCUUUUCCUUUCUUUUUACAAUUGUCAUGAUUUUAUAUGGCCUUAGUCAAUCUGUUGUGUCUGGUCUGAUUUGUUAGAUAACUACAAUGUGUGAUGAAUUCUUCAAUUGAUUAGGAAGGCUAGAUGUGUAAAACUUUGUUUAUGGAGCUUGCACAUGAGCAUAUCCAUUUCACCAAAUGAAGAUAAAAGACUCAUGUUCUUGAUGUUUGAACUGGGGAUCCCAUGGAAUUUUUUUUCUGUAACAUGGUUCUCAUCUCUGAACAUGCACACAUGUUGUUUUCAUGUUAAGAUAUUUUUAAAACAAAAUACAGUAACUGACAUCUGUUUCAUUAGCUUUUUAUACUAAUGUUUUACUUCUCUGAACUAAAUUCUUGCAAAUCACAUUGAUCUAGUUGCAGGUCUUCCAUAUACAUCCACAAUCAUGUGGAGGUGUGGUUAAGCUGUGAUCUUUAAAGCAUUGCAAGUAUGGUAACUCUUUGAAUGUUGUUGUUUUACAAGAUGUUGGCAAGUUUGGUAUUUACUAUUUUGAAGACAUCGCAGGAAGUUAUUCAACAAACGGUUGCGACCAAGCAAUUUGUCUUCCUGGACAUGGCUCCUUCUGUGCAUCAAAGCUCGAACCAUUUGUCUAGCUUAGUUUGAAGAAAAAUAAAAUCUUAGUCUUAUGUAAAUUCUGUUUAUUGAUGUAGCUAGAUGCAACUCUACGCACAUAUGUGUUUUGUCAGUUCUGUUUAUUGAUGUAGCUGGAUGUUACUGAACGCAUGUAGGUCUUGUGUAAAUUCUGUUUAUUGAUGUAGCUGGAUGCUACUGAACGCUUGAAUGAAUGUUGAAGUAUUGAUA
Long non-coding RNA from Triticum aestivum (bread wheat), 3393 nucleotides. RefSeq lists it as uncharacterized. The transcript is spliced from 2 exons. NCBI's taxonomy places the organism in Eukaryota, Viridiplantae, Streptophyta, Magnoliopsida, Poales, Poaceae. The record is from RefSeq and is a predicted model, not a curated record.